AUGAGCCACACCGCGUUUUAUCUCAAGACAACGUAACAUGGUACAGAGUUUCGUCAGGCACUUAAAGGGAGUUCAUACGCUCCACAAGGAUCAAAAUCGACCAUUUUGGAGCUUGGAACGGCGCGAUGGGUAAGCCAAACGACCGAGAGAGUAGCAGUGAGAAGUGAGUGAAGCGAUUGACGUGAGUGAAAGGUCUCUCCGAGUUUGGAGCAAGUUGUUUUCUUUUCCUUUCCCAGGCAUUAUAAUGCGAGUGAAGAUGGAUGAGCUCCAUCUCCACGAACAAUCUCCAUCGGGGAGAUAACGCCGAGAUUGAAGGAGGACGUGAGGACACGCGUUUCGGACCAGGUCAAUGCAAAACAUUCAUGGAUCAUAACAACGCAAUCAAACGAUCUCCCAGAGCGAAAUUAAACGCAGAGGAGAAAGCAAGGCCCAAGCCGAGCGAGCGAGAAAGAGAAAGAGUUAAUUUAGCUCGGUUGCUACCUGUAAGUGUUUUGAUGGCCACCUUGAUUGCAUAUGAAAAACUAAGAGCCUUGUUACAA
Selaginella moellendorffii is the source of this 539-nucleotide long non-coding RNA. RefSeq lists it as uncharacterized. The transcript has 2 exons. The record is from RefSeq and is a predicted model, not a curated record. Lineage: Eukaryota; Viridiplantae; Streptophyta; Lycopodiopsida; Selaginellales; Selaginellaceae.